UACGUAGGGUGCAAGCGUUGUCCGGAAUUAUUGGGCGUAAAGAGCUCGUAGGCGGUCUGUCGCGUCUGCUGUGAAAACUCGGGGCUUAACCCGGCCUGCAGUGGGUACGGGCAGACUAGAGUGCGGUAGGGGAGACUGGAAUUCCUGGUGUAGCGGUGAAAUGCGCAGAUAUCAGGAGGAACACCGGUGGCGAAGGCGGGUCUCUGGGCCGUAACUGACGCUGAGGAGCGAAAGCGUGGGGAGCGAACAGG
Molecule: ribosomal RNA, 251 nt
Filed under: uncultured bacterium
Lineage: Bacteria
Description: partial 16S ribosomal RNA
Rfam family: Bacterial small subunit ribosomal RNA
Source: RNAcentral